This 274-nucleotide unclassified non-coding RNA is filed under the name Hevea brasiliensis (rubber tree). The record is from RNAcentral. Lineage: Eukaryota; Viridiplantae; Streptophyta; Magnoliopsida; Malpighiales; Euphorbiaceae.
ACACCUCUUCUCCUAUACUUUCUUCUCCCUUGAUCUCAUGUUCACGGUGGAUCUCUUCCACUGCUUCUUCACUUGAGAUAUUGUCAGCAAUAGCUUGGUGAAGGUUCUCAACAGUUCCUUUUUCUGUACUGAUAUGCUUUUGAAUGGUCUCACUUGCAUCAAUUUUCACAAUUUCCUUGCACAAUACUUCAGUUUGCAUUUCCUCUGCUAACACCUUAUCUCCUAGAAUAUCUUCACCCUUUAUUUCUUGUUCUUGGUGGAUCUCUUUAGUUGC